Molecule: long non-coding RNA, 1435 nt
Filed under: Manacus vitellinus (golden-collared manakin)
Lineage: Eukaryota; Metazoa; Chordata; Aves; Passeriformes; Pipridae
Description: lncRNA (ENSMVIG00005004861.1)
Source: RNAcentral
GGGGUCCCUGAGGGUCCUGGGGGCACUGGGGGGGUCCCUGUGCCCUUGGGGGUCACUGGGGGUUGUGGUGGCACUGGGGGACAGACCUGGGAAUGGGAACAGGGACCCCUGGAAUGGGAACAGGGACCCUCUGGAAUGUGGACAGACCUGGGAAUGGGAACAGGGACCCUCUGGAAUGUGGGCAGGGACCCCUUGAAUGGGGACAGGGACCCCUUGGAAUGUGGGAAGAGACUCCUGGGAAUGGGGACAGACCUGGGAAUGGGAACAGGGACCCUCUGGAAUGGGAACAGGCCUUGGAAUGGGAAAAGGGAUCCCUGGAAUGGGAACAGGGACCCCUUGGAAUGUGGGAAGAGACUCCUGGGAAUGGGGACAGGGACCCUCUGGAAUGGGGAUAGACCUGGGAAUGGGAGCAGGGAUCUUCUGGAAUGGGAACAGGGACCCCUGGAAUGGGAACAGGGACCCCUUGGAAUGGGAACUGGGACCCUUGGGAUGGGAAGAGGGACCCCUGGGAAUGGGGACAGGCCUUGGAAUGGGGACAGGGACCCUCUGGAUUGGGAACAGGGACCCCCUGGAAUGGGAAAAGGGAUCCCUGGAAUGGGAUCAGCCACCCUUGGAAUGGGAACAGGGACCCCUGGAAUGGGAAAAGGGACCCUUGGAAUGGGAACUGGGACCCUUGGGAUGGGAACAGAGCUUGGAAUGGGGACAGGGACCUCUGGAAUGUGGGAAGAGACUCCUGGGAAUGGGGACAGGGACCCUCUGGAUUGUGGGCAGGGACCCCCUGGAAUGGGAAAAGGGACCCCUGGAAUGGGAACAGGGACCCCCUGGGAUGGGAAAAGGGAUCCCUGGAAUGGGAACAACCUUGGGAAUGGGAACAGGGACCCUCUGGAAUGUGGGAACAGACUCCUGGGAAUGGGGACAGACCUUGGAAUGGGGACAGGGACCCUCUGGAUUGGGAACAGGGACCCCCUGGAAUGGGAAAAGGGAUCCCUGGAAUGGGAUCAGCCCUUGGAAUAUGAACAGGGACCCCCUGGAAUGGGAACAACCUCGGGAAUGGGAACAGGAACCCCUUGGGAUGGGAACAGGGACCCCCUGGAAUGGGAUCAGCCCUUGGAAUGGGAACAGGGACCCCCUGGAAUGGGAACAACCUUGGGAAUGGGAACAGGGACCCUCUGGAAUGGGAAAAGGGAUCCCUGGAAUGGGAUCAGCCCUUGGAAUAUGAACAGGGACCCCCUGGAAUGGGAACAACCUCGGGAAUGGGAACAGGAACCCCUUGGGAUGGGAACAGGGACCCCCUGGAAUGGGAUCAGCCCUUGGAAUGGGAACAGGGACCCCCUGGAAUGGGAACAACCUUGGGAAUGGGAACAGGGACCCUCUGGAAUGGGAAAAGGGAUCCCCCCUGGAACGACUCGGGUGGGAGGGGGGUCUACUUGGGGUG